GAUGAACGCUGGCGGCGUGCCUAAUACAUGCAAGUCGAGCGAACGGACGAGAAGCUUGCUUCUCUGAUGUUAGCGGCGGACGGGUGAGUAACACGUGGAUAACCUACCUAUAAGACUGGGAUAACUUCGGGAAACCGGAGCUAAUACCGGAUAAUAUUUUGAACCGCAUGGUUCAAAAGUGAAAGACGGUCUUGCUGUCACUUAUAGAUGGAUCCGCGCUGCAUUAGCUAGUUGGUAAGGUAACGGCUUACCAAGGCAACGAUGCAUAGCCGACCUGAGAGGGUGAUCGGCCACCCUGGAACUGAGACACGGUCCAGACUCCUACGGGAGGCAGCAGUAGGGAAUCUUCCGCAAUGGGCGAAAGCCUGACGGAGCCACGCCGCGUGAGUGAUGAAGGUCUUCGGAUCGUAAAACUCUUUUAUUAGGGAAGAACAUAUGUGUAAGUAACUGUGCACAUCUUGACGGUACCUAAUCAGAAAGCCACGGCUAACUACGUG
RNAcentral lists this ribosomal RNA (497 nucleotides) under uncultured bacterium. RNAcentral's name for it is "partial 16S ribosomal RNA". It matches the Rfam family "Bacterial small subunit ribosomal RNA", at positions 28 to 507 of the family's 1533-position model. The record is from RNAcentral.